AGAGUUUGAUCCUGGCUCAGGACGAACGCUGGCGGCGUGCUUAACACAUGCAAGUCGAACGGUGAAGUCCCUUCGGGGGCGGAUCAGUGGCGAACGGGUGAGUAACACGUGGGCAAUCUGCCCCUCACUGUGGGAUAACUCCGGGAAACCGGGGCUAAUACCGCAUAUGAAGUCUGGCGGCAUCGCCGGGUUUGGAAAGUUUUUCGGUGAGGGAUGAGCCCGCGGCCUAUCAGCUUGUUGGUGAGGUAAUGGCUCACCAAGGCGACGACGGGUAGCCGGCCUGAGAGGGCGACCGGCCACACUGGGACUGAGACACGGCCCAGACUCCUACGGGAGGCAGCAGUGGGGAAUAUUGGGCAAUGGGCGAAAGCCUGACCCAGCGACG
This 385-nucleotide ribosomal RNA is filed under the name uncultured bacterium. Its description in RNAcentral is "bacterial SSU rRNA". It matches the Rfam family "Bacterial small subunit ribosomal RNA", at positions 8 to 396 of the family's 1533-position model. The record is from RNAcentral.